This is a long non-coding RNA of Populus nigra (black poplar), 721 nucleotides long. RefSeq lists it as uncharacterized. Lineage: Eukaryota; Viridiplantae; Streptophyta; Magnoliopsida; Malpighiales; Salicaceae. The record is from RefSeq and is a predicted model, not a curated record. The transcript is spliced from 3 exons.
AAAGCCAGAAGAAACAACCUACUGACCUAGUAUAAAUAUUAACUAGUACAAUAAAGUGUAAACCUAAACCUAACAUUACAAUUUACUUCUGCAACCGCCGCCCACAUCAAACCUAAAUUUUUCAUCUUCUCUGCCUCUUACCCACAUCUCCGCAUAUAUCUGUUCUCUAGCUCUAUCUCUUCUGCAGCCGCCGCCCACACCAAACCUAACAUUUUCUCUGCAUCUAUCUCUUCUUAAGCUGAUUAACAAUGGUAGGGAAGCAUGGCUGCAAACAAACUCCAACGACAUGGAUGGGCACAGACAAAGAACGUUCCAGUCACAACAAAGAUCUGGACAACUAAUGGAGGAAAGCGAUUCGACUAGGCCGAAAAGCUACUUGGGGUCUAGUUUGGAUUGCAAGAACCCCAGCUUGGAGUUCACAAUGUGUAGACCAGAUUGGCCGGGGAAAGAACAUUGCUGAUCAUGCAUAAACAAUCGCUAUAUACCAUGGUUGUCUUUCUUUGAAGUGAAUUCCUGCCCACCGUAAGCCAAUUUAAAAAAAAAACCAAAAAAACCCAUGGGAUUAGGUUUCCCGGUUUUUUCCUUAAAAAACCGGAUUUAACCGAACCAGACCAGUUCAGUUUGAACCGGUUUCCGGUCCGGUUAAUUUUUUACAAAUAUGUUGUAAUUCGGUUCGGUUGGUUUUUUUAGUUUAAACCGAACCGAACCGUGAACACCCCUA